Panicum hallii is the source of this 1055-nucleotide RNA transcript. It is a transcript of the gene named protein yippee-like, with no coding region annotated. Lineage: Eukaryota; Viridiplantae; Streptophyta; Magnoliopsida; Poales; Poaceae. The transcript has 3 exons. The record is from RefSeq and is a predicted model, not a curated record.
UAACGUCGGGAGGGGAGGAGAGAGAGUCUCAGAGUCAGAGAGGGGAAAGAAACUGUCUGAGUUCGUUGCUUGUGUUGCUUGCACUCUCUUUCCUCCACCCGGGCGGUUUUCCUCCUUUUCCCCGAUCCCCUUCCCUUCCCUCCCUCUCCCUCUUCCUCUUCACCAUUCCACCCAUCUCGUCUGCUGGAUCGAGCGAUCAAUCGGUUGCCCGGCGCCAGUCCUCGUCCAUCUCGUCUUCGGCUCGAUUGCAGCCAGCCAGAGCCAGGUGGUGCGCCGUGCCGAGCGACCAGGUCGGAUUGGCAUCCAGCUCGAUCUCCCCAAAUCGAUCCAUGGGGCGGCUGCUGCUGGUGAGCCUGCCAGCGACGGGCGCCGUCAUCUACCGCUGCAAGCACUGCGAUACGCCCCUCGCCUACGGCACCGACAUCAUAUCCAAGAUGUUCCGCUGCAAGAACGGCAAAGCGUACCUGUUCGGCAAGAUGGUGAACGUGAACGUCGGUGAGAAGGACGACCGGAUGAUGACGACGGGGAUGCACACCGUGUGCGACAUCUUCUGCGUCGCCUGCGGAUCCAUCCUGGGCUGGAAGUACCUGGCCGCCGUCGAAAAGGCCCAGCGCUACAAGGAAGGCAAGUUCAUCCUCGACAGGGGCGUGGUGGUGGCGGCAAGUCCUGGUGGUGGAGCUGGUGCUGGUGCUGCCCAUGGGAUGUGGCCGGACCACCAGCAGCAGACGAGCGGCGACGAUGACGGCGACGACCAGGACAGCGAUGAAGAAUCUUCUGACCACCAGGAUUAAUUGAUCGAUCGAUUCAAUCAUUGAUUCCUGAGCAUGCAUCCAUCCAUCCAUGCUUAUUGUGACUCUGCUGUUGACAUGUCAAACUGGGCAAUGCAAGCUCUGUUUCUGUUGGUUCAAUUCAGCACCGCUCUGCUGGGCUACCACUGACUGCAUCUCUUCUUCGUCAGAGCAACACGCGCGCGCACACACCACUUGUUCCAGUCUCCACUCUCACUUGUCCUCACAUUGUCUGAAUGAACUGAACAAAACAAGCAGGAUUCGUCA